GGAAGUCCUUCUUGUGAGUAUCUUUUGUUGUGUUGCCCUGGCUGCCUUGAUGUCCUGAAGUGAUUCAAAAUGUUGAGUUUUCGUGGUCAUUUUGACUUGGGGAAAGAGCCAGAAGUCACACAGUGCCAGAUCUGGUGAGUAAGGUGGAUGAGGAUAUCCUAUAAUAUUUUUAUGAGCUUGUCUUUCUAUAGGACAUGAUUCACUGUAAUUUUGAUCACACCUGGUAAAGACCUGAAAGGGGACUUUUCCACUGAAAUAUGGAAAAGGAAAAUGGGGAUAUUGUGAAUAUGUGUAGAAUAUCAAUUUAUGUUUUCUGUUUUUCAACAUGAAGUCAUAUUUUUUUCUGAGAUAAGACUCUAACAUAUCCUAUUAUACUCUUACUUGGAACCCACAAAAGGACUAUGACACCAUUGCUACCAAUGCUCCAUCUUGUCUAGAUAGUUUGAAUUAAAAUGAGUUGAAUAAUACCAAGAGCUAUUUUUAAACUUGCAUAUUUGCUGUAUUUCUCUCAUAGAGGAAGAAGGCCUGCUCAUUUUCCAUCUUCAUCCCUGUGUCAUUUAAUAACUUCCCUGCGUGCGGUGGUGGGGCUGCUGGUAUGGGCAGAACCUGAACAUUUAUUUGUACAGAUACUCUCCAGAGGUGUACUUGUCCAGACAAUGGCCAGACCUCAGCGGCAGGCGUGGGAAGACCUGAAAGGCCUGACCAGGGAGAGCUGCAUAUGUACCAUCUGGGGGCAGUGAUGGAAGGAGCAGUGUCUACCCAGUCUUGGACAUAAGAACCCCAACUCCCACAGAAGUUAAUGGCCUUGGCAUAUGCAUUGCAGGGAGCCUGGCCGUUCACAGCCCUGAGAGGCAGUCACACAUGUGUAAAGGUAGGUAUUUUCUUUGCAUUUAUUGGGCUGUGACCUUUAGAAAGUGAGCCAAGUUGGCUGUGGUUUAACUGUCCUCAGUUUCCCUUCUAACACACUUACCACUCCUUGCACUGCCCCAACCGGUAGGGGCAGGGUUGACUUUGAGCCUCUUCCAAGAAUCAACCACAUCUGACAGAGCCCAGAAAUAGAACAGGCCUGAGAAAGCAAAGCCCCACCAGCCACACCAGUGCGCGGGUCACCCACUGUGUCCCCUCCUCCCCAGGGAUCUGCUCUGUGCUGAUGAAGUUCAGGGUGGCUGAGAGGGUUGGAGAAGGAAGGUGUUGAGGUGUUUGAACCCCCAGGGGACCCUGCCCCUGCUUGGCCUGAGACAUCAGCC
RNAcentral lists this long non-coding RNA (1247 nucleotides) under Fukomys damarensis (Damara mole-rat). RNAcentral's name for it is "lncRNA (ENSFDAG00000026392.1)". The record is from RNAcentral. Lineage: Eukaryota; Metazoa; Chordata; Mammalia; Rodentia; Bathyergidae.